CCUCCAAAAUGAAAUUCAGAACACGAACAAUCAGUUAGACCCAAAAUACUAAUCUUCUGGCCUUAUUCGAUCCAAUCUGAAUCACAUCCAUGCAAACCCAAAAGAUAAAAAGAAAAUCCUACCCAAAAUCAAUAAUAAUGCCAAGAAAAGCAAUCAUUUCUUUUUCUUUUUAAUAACAAACUCAAAAUGAAUUAAACAAAGCCGAAUAGAACCGAAGCAUCAUCAAAGACGUGAAAUCAAACCCAGAAAUCUAAAAUAAGUUACCAUAAUCAAAUGCAAUAAUGAAUCAAAUAAAUCACUGAUAAAUCAAACAUUUAGCAAAGAAGCUAAACCAGCUAAACAAACAAGUGAUGCUAAACAGACAAAUU
Molecule: long non-coding RNA, 368 nt
Filed under: Gossypium barbadense (sea-island cotton)
Lineage: Eukaryota; Viridiplantae; Streptophyta; Magnoliopsida; Malvales; Malvaceae
Description: long non-coding RNA (GBAR_LNC010317)
Source: RNAcentral